This 484-nucleotide ribosomal RNA is filed under the name uncultured bacterium. RNAcentral's name for it is "partial 16S ribosomal RNA". It matches the Rfam family "Bacterial small subunit ribosomal RNA", at positions 30 to 507 of the family's 1533-position model. The record is from RNAcentral.
AUUGAACGCUGGCGGCAGGCCUAACACAUGCAAGUCGAGCGGAUGAAGGGAGCUUGCUCCUGGCUUCAGCGGCGGACGGGUGAGUAAUGCCUAGGAAUCUGCCUGGUAGUGGGGGAUAACGUCCGGAAACGGGCGCUAAUACCGCAUACGUCCUGAGGGAGAAAGUGGGGGAUCUUCGGACCUCACGCUAUCAGAUGAGCCUAGGUCGGAUUAGCUAGUUGGUGGGGUAAAGGCCUACCAAGGCGACGAUCCGUAACUGGUCUGAGAGGAUGAUCAGCCACACUGGAACUGAGACACGGUCCAGACUCCUACGGGAGGCAGCAGUGGGGAAUAUUGGACAAUGGGCGAAAGCCUGAUCCAGCCAUGCCGCGUGUGUGAAGAAGGUCUUCGGAUUGUAAAGCACUUUAAGUUGGGAGGAAGGGCAGUAAGUUAAUACCUUGCCGUAUUGACGUUACCAACAGAAUAAGCACCGGCUAACUUCGUG